UACGUAGGGUGCGAGCGUUGUCCGGAAUUAUUGGGCGUAAAGAGCUCGUAGGCGGUUUGUUGCGUCUAUCGUGAAAACCUGCAGCUUAACUGUGGGCUUGCGGUGGAUACGGGCAGACUUGAGUUCGGUAGGGGAGACUGGAAUUCCUGGUGUAGCGGUGAAAUGCGCAGAUAUCAGGAGGAAGACCAGUGGCGAAGGCGGGUCUCUGGACAGUUCCUGACGCUGAGGCACGAAGGUCAGGGGAGCAAACGGG
RNAcentral lists this ribosomal RNA (253 nucleotides) under uncultured bacterium. Its description in RNAcentral is "partial 16S ribosomal RNA". It matches the Rfam family "Bacterial small subunit ribosomal RNA", at positions 524 to 776 of the family's 1533-position model. The record is from RNAcentral.